This 253-nucleotide ribosomal RNA is filed under the name uncultured bacterium. Its description in RNAcentral is "partial 16S ribosomal RNA". It matches the Rfam family "Bacterial small subunit ribosomal RNA", at positions 524 to 776 of the family's 1533-position model. The record is from RNAcentral.
UACGAAGGGGGCUAGCGUUGCUCGGAAUCACUGGGCGUAAAGGGUGCGUAGGCGGGUUCUUAAGUCAGAGGUGAAAUCCUGGAGCUCAACUCCGAAAUGGCAUUGGAAACUACCUUGCUCGAGGGUUGGAGGGGGGACUGGAAUUCUCGGUGUAGCAGUGAAAUGCGUAGAUAUCGAGAGGAACACCAGUGGCGAAGGCGAGUCCCUGGACAACUCCUGACACUGAGGCACGAAAGCUAGGGGAGCAAACAGG